This 397-nucleotide ribosomal RNA is filed under the name uncultured bacterium. RNAcentral's name for it is "partial 16S ribosomal RNA". It matches the Rfam family "Bacterial small subunit ribosomal RNA", at positions 523 to 918 of the family's 1533-position model. The record is from RNAcentral.
AUACGUAGGGGGCGAGUGUUGUCCGGAAUGAUUGGGCGUAAAGGGCGCGUAGGCGGCGCGGUAAGUCUGGAGUGAAAGUCCUGCUUUCAAGGUGGGAAUUGCUUUGGAUACUGCCGCGCUUGAGUGCAGGAGAGGUUAUCGGAAUUCCCGGUGUAGCGGUGAAAUGCGUAGAGAUCGGGAGGAACACCAGUGGCGAAGGCGGGUAACUGGACUGCAACUGACGCUGAGGCGCGAAAGUGUGGGGAGCAAACAGGAUUAGAUACCCUGGUAGUCCACACUGUAAACGAUGAAUGCUAGGUGUAAGAGGUAUCGACCCCUUUCGUGCCGGAGUCAACACAAUAAGCAUUCCGCCUGGGGAGUACGGCCGCAAGGUUGAAACUCAAAUGAAUUGACGGGG